RNAcentral lists this long non-coding RNA (381 nucleotides) under Ananas comosus (pineapple). Its description in RNAcentral is "long non-coding RNA (ACOM_LNC002478)". Lineage: Eukaryota; Viridiplantae; Streptophyta; Magnoliopsida; Poales; Bromeliaceae. The record is from RNAcentral.
AAUUGUUCGUUCAGAACUCGAUAGCAUGCAUUUUGUAUAUGAUAAAUGAUGUCGAAAAAUUAUAAAAUUUAAUUUUUAGUUAUUUUUAAUAGUGUAAACUAAGUUUAACCGAGCCGAUCGUCGAUUUGGACGUCGCAUUAAUUAUUGAAAACAAUAUGGUAGCACGGAGGCCUCCGUGCUACCGAUAGUAUACCAGCCUCUCUCUCUCUGUCUCUCUCUCUCUCUCUAUAUAUAUAUAUAUACACACACUAUGCUUUUGGAAGUAUAAGAGAAUUUGUGCUUUUUCACUUCUUCAUCCUUGGAUCAAGAUUUAUAGGAUCAGAAUAAUAGUGGUCCUCCAAUUAGGAUUUGUGGACCCGCAGAACUGGCUAGUAUUUCUAG